RNAcentral lists this long non-coding RNA (399 nucleotides) under Citrus maxima (pomelo). RNAcentral's name for it is "long non-coding RNA (CMAX_LNC001847)". The record is from RNAcentral. Lineage: Eukaryota; Viridiplantae; Streptophyta; Magnoliopsida; Sapindales; Rutaceae.
AUUGCAUUGGAUUGGAAGUUUUGGAAUCCACAAUCAGCAGAUCAAUUUGUUCACCACAGGGUACAAUGCAGCUCCUUGCUCUGAACAUAAAUGCUCAAACUAUGAUUGGUUCAUGGAGUUCACAAGUUUCGCUGCACAGACACAUUACGAAGUCCAUGAUUACACAGCUCAUGAAGAAUUUAAACAUAUCAUAAGAAAGCAACAGCCUCAAAAGACUUCCUUUCAAGAAAUGUAAAAGUAAUUUGAUGAGAUGUUUCAAUUCUGCAGACUCAAUAUUUAUCCAAGUCAAAGAAGUUCAGUUUGUAGCAUUAUCCUUGAGUUCUCUUUAUCCAGUCUAGAAUAUUACAGCAAUCUCCACGGCUAAUAAAAUGCCUUCAAUUUCAGAAAAGUAAAAAUAAU